AAUGAACGCUAGCGACAUGCCUAACACAUGCAAGUCGAACGAAAAAUCAAUUUAUUGGUUUUUAGUGGCAAACGGGUGAGUAACGCGUAGGAAUUUGCCCUUUAGUGGGGAAUAACUAUAGGAAACUGUAGCUAAUACCGCAUGACCUUUGUAGUUAAUACAAAAGAAAGAUUUAUCGCUAAAGGAGAAGCCUGCGUCAGAUUAGGUUGUUGGUGAGGUAAUAGCUCACCAAGCCAAUGAUCUGUAGCUGGUCUGAGAGGAUGAUCAGCCACAUUGGGACUGAGAUACGGCCCAGACUCCUACGGGAGGCAGCAGCUAAGAAUAUUCCGCAAUGGGGGAAACCCUGACGGAGCAAUCUCUCAUGGAUGAUGAAUGUCUUCGGAUUGUAAAAUCCUUUCGGCAAGGAAGAAUGUGUAGAGUAGGAAAUGGCUUUGCAUUGACGGUACUUGCAGAAGAAGUCCCGGCUAACUACGUGCCAGCCGCCGCCGUAACAC
Molecule: ribosomal RNA, 494 nt
Filed under: uncultured bacterium
Lineage: Bacteria
Description: bacterial SSU rRNA
Rfam family: Bacterial small subunit ribosomal RNA
Source: RNAcentral